GACGAACGCUGGCGGCGUGCCUAACACAUGCAAGUCGAGCGAGUAAAUCUCCUUCGGGAGUGAAGCUAGCGGCGGACGGGUGAGUAACACGUGGGCAACCUGCCUCAUCGAGGGGAAUAGCCUUUCGAAAGGAAGAUUAAUACCGCAUAAGAUUGUAGCUUCGCAUGAAGUAGCAAUUAAAGGAGCAAUCCGCUAUGAGAUGGUCCCGCGGCGCAUUAGCUAGUUGGUGAGGUAACGGCUGGCCAAGGCGACGGUGCGUAGCCGACCUGAGAGGGUGAUCGGCCGCAUUGGGACGGCGACAAGGCCCAGAAUCCUACGGGAGGCAGCUGUGGGGAAUAUUGCACAAUGGGGGAAACCCUGAUGCAGCAACGCCGCGUGAUUGAUGACGGCCUUCGGGUUGUAAAACUCUGUCUUCAGGGACGAUAAUGACGGUACCUGAGGAGGAAGCCACGGCUAACUACGUGCCAGCAGCCGCAGUAA
RNAcentral lists this ribosomal RNA (480 nucleotides) under uncultured bacterium. RNAcentral describes it as "partial 16S ribosomal RNA". It matches the Rfam family "Bacterial small subunit ribosomal RNA", at positions 28 to 523 of the family's 1533-position model. The record is from RNAcentral.